This 306-nucleotide unclassified non-coding RNA is filed under the name plant metagenome. Its description in RNAcentral is "partial contains 5.8S ribosomal RNA, internal transcribed spacer 2, and large subunit ribosomal RNA". The stretch from base 1 to 105 matches the Rfam family "5.8S ribosomal RNA", at positions 50 to 154 of the family's 154-position model. The record is from RNAcentral.
GAAAUGCGAUAAGUAAUGUGAAUUGCAGAAUUCAGUGAAUCAUCGACUCUUUGAACGCACAUUGCGCCCGCCAGUAUUCUGGCGGGCAUGCCUGUCCGAGCGUCAUUUCAACCAUCAAGCCCCCGGGCUUGUGUUGGGGACCUGCGGCUGCCCGCAGGCCCUGAAAACCAGUGGCGGGCUCGCUGUCACACCGAGCGUAGUAGCAAUCACCUCGCUCAGGGCGUGCUGCGGGUUCCGGCCGUUAAACAGCCUUACAAAACCCAAGGUUGACCUCGGAUCAGGUAGGAAGACCCGCUGAACUUAAGC